RNAcentral lists this long non-coding RNA (598 nucleotides) under Marmota monax (woodchuck). The record is from RNAcentral. Lineage: Eukaryota; Metazoa; Chordata; Mammalia; Rodentia; Sciuridae.
UCACCUCUGAUUUUAAUUAUCUGUUCCCUUCUACUGGUUUUGGAAUUGGCUUGUUCUUGUUUUUCAAGGAUCUUGAGAUUCAUCCUUUAAUUAUUUAUCUGAGAUCUUUCUGAUUUUCUAAUAUAGUUAUAGUUAUAAACUUGAGAACUGAGUUUAUAAUAUUGCUGAGGUUCUGGUAUGUUGUAUCACUAUUUUUCUUUGUCUCUAAGAAUUUUUAAAUCUCUCCUAGCACCCAUUAAUCAUCAAAAGUAUAUUGGUUAAUCUCCAUGUGUUUUUAUAUAUUCUGAAGGUGUUUUUGGUGUUUAUUUUUAAUUUUAUUCCAACAUAAUCAAAUAGAUAUAAGGAAUUAUAUUACUUUUUUUAUUUGGUAUGUGUUGCUUUGUUGCCUAAUAUAUGGUCUGUUUUUGAGAAAGAUACAUAAACAGCUGAGAAGAAAGUGUAUUCUACUAUUGUUGGGUGGAAUAUUCUCUAGAAAUCUGGUAAGUCCAUUUGAUUAUUUAUGUAUUUAUUUAUUUAUUUUUGGUUCAAUGAGUCUUUACAAACUUAGGUUUAGAUGACAUGUCUAUUGGUGAGAGGUGUGUUGAAAUCAACAUGUAUU